RNAcentral lists this ribosomal RNA (253 nucleotides) under uncultured bacterium. RNAcentral describes it as "partial 16S ribosomal RNA". It matches the Rfam family "Bacterial small subunit ribosomal RNA", at positions 524 to 776 of the family's 1533-position model. The record is from RNAcentral.
UACGAAGGAUCCAAGCGUUGUCCGGAUUUACUGGGUUUAAAGGGAGCGUAGGCGGUCUCAUAAGUCAGUGGUGAAAGCCUUCAGCUUAACUGAAGAAUUGCCAUUGAAACUGCGAGACUCGAGUAUGGUUGAGGUCGCUGGAAUAUAACAUGUAGCGGUGAAAUGCUUAGAUAUGUUAUAGAACACCAAUUGCGAAGGCAGGUGACUGAGCCAUAACUGACGCUGAGGCUCGAAAGCGUGGGGAGCAAACAGG